RNAcentral lists this long non-coding RNA (4923 nucleotides) under Gallus gallus (chicken). RNAcentral describes it as "lncRNA (ENSGALG00010012855.1)". The record is from RNAcentral. Lineage: Eukaryota; Metazoa; Chordata; Aves; Galliformes; Phasianidae.
AAGGCUUCCUGCCAAAGGCUAAAACUGCCAAAUCCUCAUCCUUGUCUGGAAACACAGGCGGUAGUAGGUUAUAUUCCUUGUGAAGUUAUCCACCUGGCUACCCUCUGUUCCCAGUCUCACAACAGCACUGCUUUAAUGGCUGAUGCGUUCUGUCACACUUUUUUUGUGGACAAAGAGCACCUUUUCUGUAGAGAAGGACCAGAGAAGAAGAUGGAAAGACCUGGGAGUCCUGCACCUGGUACUGAGGUGAGAAGACAUCGCCAGGAGAAGGAAUAUGGAUAACAUAGAUGCCAAAACCUCCAUGUCAGAGCAGCAAGAUCUAUCUGUGGUAUUUGCAGUCACGUAAUUGCUUUUGCUGUUUUUCUGUAUUUUACAUUACAAAGGAGGUUCAAAAUAUAUCUGAAGUAGAAGUAUGUGCCAAACAUACAGCAGAAAAAUUCACUGAAAGAAAUAGAAAUAGAAAAAAACACGCAAACCACAGCAUGGGGCAAUCUUCCCAAGCAACAGCAGAAUCUAAUCAGGGUUGCCUAAUUUUUUUCCCACUCAAAACAAACGCUUUCAAAUUAGAAGGGUUUAAGACUGUAGGAAGGACAGACUAUUCACACCCCACCUCCUUAUUUUAAUAUUAUCUUUUUUUACACAACUUUGGAAACCUAGCAUGCCGACCUUGGUUAAUUCCUGUGAAUCAUACAAGCCUUAAUUGGUUUUGGAAGGGUCUCCAGAUCUCUCUAGAAAAGGUUAAGCAUUAUUUAUUUGCCUUCGUUACUAUCCAAACCUAUGUGAUUUCUGAACAGGUUUGACAUUCAAACUAAUUAAGGAUAAGCAAAAGAGGAAAAAAGCCUUUAUAUGAGUUCUAAACAAAAAUUUACAAAAGAAAGAAAUGUAAAGCAGUAAUGGCAAAAGCCAUAUAUUAUAUAACACCCCUGCACCAUUCUUCUUUAGUAUAGAAGAGCUGCAGAAUGCCUCUUGCUAGUUCCUGUGUUUAUGAGAUCCAAUCUGAAAGAGGGUAAGAGUUGUGUCGGUUCUUUUCUAGCUUUAAGGCACAUGGUAACCGUAUCGUUGUCAUUAUUUUCUAAAAUAAUAGAUGAGUUUUGAUUUUGUUUCAUUUACAAGAUGUCAUUCAUAUAUGAAAUAUUCUGAAAGUACAGCUCUUUCUCUACCAAAGUGUGAGAACUAGGUUCCUGCAUGGUGAUCUCCCUGCAGUCAUGGCCUCCUCAACCCCUCCGCUUGCUGCAAAGGUAGGACCCAUGAAUAUGCAUGUCGAUGAAAUGCAAUCAAUUAUUUUGCAGUAUGUUUGUUGCACUCAGGUCAAUUUGAUUUGAGGAAUUAGAUUAAGAUUCCCAUAGGUUUUUCAUACUGUAAAUUUAGAAGGAUAUUUACGGAUUUCUAAACACAUUUGUCAGCUAGACAAUAAGCUUGCUGGCAGAUGGGAGUUAGCCCGAGGUUUGCAUCCCACAUAACAUUUCUUUUUUUCUCUCCUUGAAGAGAAAAAUGCCUCUCUGCUGUCCCUAAAUGUUUGGUGUUAUGUGAGAGAGCAAAGGCAGCAAAGUGCCUGUAGAAAAUCCUUGAGCACAUGGCAGUGCUUAGGUCACUAAUAUGUACUAACAACUUGCAACAGGACAGUCCUACAAGAUCUACCUCACAACUGCUGUUAAAUUAAAUGUUAAUUAUGCUUGUGCUAGUUGUGCGUUUGUGCUUUGGAAAAGAGCACUUUUAUCCUGCUUAUCACUUCUCAUGCUGUCAUGUGAUCUGCUAGGUAUCGGCCCCACAUAGCUAUGAACAGAGCAAACAGACACCCACCACAUACCUGCAAGGACUGUGUGAAACAAUGAAGUUACAGAUAUGUCAGAAGUAAAGGCAGUCUUUGUAAAUAGCUGGCACCUAAUUACUUUGCAGCAGAGCUGAGACAAGGCAGUGCCUCUGGUCCCACAAGUAUUGCUAAAGUUUGUUACUGUACCAAUUAAAAUAAAGCGCUGCCAGCAUUAAAAACUGAAACAUUUGCUCUGCGCUUAGAGGAAAGGGGUGUUAUUAGUUGACUGAAGAAGUGUACUGUGAUCCUUUGUAUUUGUUUCCCUCUCAAUUGUUUAUUCUCUGAAAGAUAAUGAAGGAGAACUUCAAUUCUGGAACAUUUUUAACAACCAGCCAAAUCUCCUCAUUGCUUCUAGCUGACCUCAGAUAAGCUAGAUCUUCAACAGGACAUUCCUUUAAGACAAAUGAUCCAAUACACCUUAUUUCCUUGGUACCAGAUCCCUUUUGACUGCUAUAGUUUAUUAUGGUUAGUCCAUUAUAAAUUACAUGAUGUCUCCAGGGACCCAUUCUGAACUUGAAAUAUCACAAGACUGCUAUCGUGCAUAAUGCUGCAAAGAGCAGCUAAAUUUAUAUCCACUAAAAAUGUGCUUUCCAUUGCAGAGCAACCCACUUUAAGUAUACUCUGUUAUUUUCUGUUUGUCCAGUUUUAUCUUUCUCAGAAAAUGUUCAUGGAAAAUCUGGGUUUGUUUGUGCUUGGUGUACAGUGUGAUUAUCAUUAUUUUAUAAAACUUGGACAUUCUCUCAAAUUCCCCUAGAGACAAAGCAUGUAAAGGGCAAUUUUGACUGCCAGCCCAUGUAAAUUCUCUCAGACCGUAUAAAAAGACAACAGUGGCAGAUUGGCUCCAGGAGCUUAUGGUUUCUUCUGUUACUAAACAGCACAGCAAAUAGAACAGCUUGUGAAACGAAAGUUGUGCUAACAUAUAGAUAAUGACAGCUUAGUUGUGCAGUUUCAAAGCAUGCCCUAAGAUGUCAUUUUAAAAGUUGCAUUUGUUUAUUUAUUUAUUUAUUUUACUUUGAACUGGAGUACUGUGGCCUGUUUUCACAAAAUGAAAAAACAAAGCAUAACUUUCUGAUUCUGCAUUACUGUUUCACCUUCUGUAGAGGGGAGAAUGGCUUUUAAUGUCCUUGGGAUCCUAUAUUCUAUAAAUCACUAUCUACAAAAAGUACAUUCAUAGGAAUUCUGCCAUAAUACCUCCUGAGUGUAUAAUAAGAAAAAUAUAUGGCAGGACUAUUAUGUUACUACUUGACAUGGCUUCUUGACAUGGUUAAGUAGUCAAUAAUCUAUUCCACUGAGGAGAUGUUUACAGGAGUAGAGAGAAGCAAGUUAAAUUGAAAGGAUUCUUCUGUUUGAUUUUUUUUUUUUCACUGAAUCUUCUUUAGAUGGUAACCAAUUACAUCCUUUCAGGCAGGAAACAACUCAGUCAUAAGUGAUUCUACAUGACUUUUGUCUGGAGAAAGUGUUGUGGUAGCCAUUGGCUACUGGAAAUGAAGUUGUGUGCAGUGAUAAUAGAUUUGUUGGGUUCAUAAGCUCUUUCACCUCUUGGAAAGAAAGAGAUAGGUGAAAGUAAGUACUCCAGAUCUCCAGAUGUCUUGACACCAUAUUACAUCAGAUGAGUGAUGGGCUAGAAUUAUUUUUCAGUGAUGGUCUUUGCAGCAGCAAACAUCAAGUUGUCCCAGAUGCUAUCCCUUUAUACUCCUUUGGAGCUCUUCUAAAAAAAUUAAUCUCCUCUCUCUAGAACGGGAGACGUCUGAGGUGUUGAUUAACAAACUAAAAGGAAGGAUUCCUCACUAUGUCUGAAUGCUCCUUCUCAUCAUUUAAAAGAAGUCAGAGGUAAAUACUACAUGUCUACCUGUUUACUUACAGGUGUUUGAAACUUCUCUUUCUCUUUAGAGUGUUGCAAUGAGAAGCCAUAACAAAAUAAAACUCGGGGAAAAAAAACAAAAACGACAGUGUAAGUAGUACUAUUUUAGAUGACAUUAGAGUCCAGGGCAAGGGAAUGAAAUAAAUAAAGUUUGAGGAUUGAAAAUCUGAACCUCUCCUUGCAGGCUGUGUGAGUCCAGGAACUAAUAAACAUCUUUUGAUCAUCUGGACACCAGGAAAGUUCAUGCAUAACCUGAAGGUUCAUAAAUUAUAAAAGAUAUUUUCUUAAGCUGAUUUUAAUGAAGAACAAGAGCUUUUAUAGGUUAGACUUUGAAUGGGAAAAGGUUAAUGUAGACAGUAAUUACUGAUCUGUGAAUACUGCUGGAAAUACUGUACUAUUCUGCAUGCUUAUUUGGGCUACUUCUAUGUAGGAAAAUAAUUCAACGCUUUUAUGGAAUCACUAUAAUAUUCAGAAACACAAACACAUGUUUGCUGGGUCUGGUGGUUAUGUAAGGAGGCACUUAAAAUAAUCCAGAAGAAUGGUGAAAAGGGCUUUUUCCAUUCUUCAUAAAUGUCAGCACUGUAAAAGGGGAUACGAAUAUAAAAAAUUUGUUUAAUGCAAUUCUUUGCUGCAAGUGGUAGAUUUCUACCUUCAGAAAGUGUCAGCUUUGUAGAAAAGGCUCUGAGAGACCUUGGGGACAAUCAGCUGACAUCAAGUCUGUAGUGUGCCCUUGCAGCAAUGAGGCCAGUUUUACUUGAGCAGUAUUAUAAGGAGCAUAGCAAGCAGCUAAAGAGAAAAUCUUUCUUGAUGGAUGAUGGCUAUAUUUAAAUAUCAUGCACUGAUCAACAAGUCUUCUUAAAAAAGUAGUGGUCUGUCCAUAGAGUAUUGAUCCAGUAGCAAGAUAAUUGUUGACUAAUUUCUCGUUUUCUUUUAGUUGAUAAUAAUACAGAAAAUUCAGUGCACCUGAGUGCAAUAUGAGCAUCUUUAUUGAAUUCAUUCUUCAUGCAAGUCCUUCUCAAAAUCAAAAGUGUGUUCUAUACAGUGUCAUAUUACUGAGGUGUAUUUGGAGAAAUUAUUAAGUGGGAAAAGUAUGAUUUUUUUCUAUGCUAUACCCCUACUCAUGUUUGUUGAAAUCUAAAAUGAAUGUAAUCUCAAUGUUAAGAAAAUUAAGUAUCUAAAUUAUAUGUGUACUUAAUAUUACUUGAAGCAAUGAGCCUAGUUUAAGGAAAAGUUUUCUUCAGGUUUAAUCAUU